GUAGGCGACCCGGGAAAGGAAACGCCUGACUGCUGCAGCCCGGCCCGAACGCCGCGGGACUGAUCAGAAGUCCAAGGCCCGAAGGCCCAGGGAGCCAAUCCUCAGGGAGCCUGACCGUGCUGCCCACUGCUUGCCCGGAGCGCCAUUUAGUCCUAAGGAGACGGACACGUUGGUGGGGCUGAGGUCCGGCCAGCUUUCUAAUUUUUAUUUUCGAGGGGGAUGGGUACAGGGAUCAAACCCAGGGAUGCUGUGGCUCGGAGCUGCACCCCGGCUCUUUUUACUUUUUAUCUUAUUUUCUUUUCAAUAAGUGGAUAGUGAAUAGUGGCCUUCCUUUGGGCAGAUGGGGACAUGUGGAUGACACAUCUUGUUCACUUUAAACCCCUCUUUCCCCCUCAGUCCCCUUUCCUGUCUCCCAGAGUCUUUCUUUUAUUCAUUAAUUUAUUUAUAUUUCAGGUUUCUCUUAUAAGGGAAAGCAUAUGAUAUUUAGUUUUUUGAGUCUGGCUUAUUUUGCUUAGCAUGAUGGUUUCAAGUUUCAUCCAUCUUCCUGCAGGUGAUAUGAUUUUGUUCUUCUUUCUUCUUCUUUUUGGUACCAGGGAUCGAACUCAGGACCUUGUGCUUGCAAGGCAGGCGGCAGAACCACUGAGCUAAAUCCCUGGCCCGAUUUUAUUCUUCUUGAUGGCUGAGUAAUAUUCCACAGUGUCUGUACACUGUAUUUCCCUUAUUCAUUCAUCCAUUGACAGGCAUCUAGGCUGCUCCCAGAGUGCAGCCACUAUGAACUGUGCUCCUUUAAACACUGACUCACACUGCUAUGUAUCACAAUAGUGUGGUGUCAUUCAUUCUCUUGGGAAUGUGCCUGAGAAAGGUACAGUUAGCUGGUGAAUGGAAUUUCUGUUUUAUUUUUUUCAGAAUCUCCAUGCUGAUUUCCAUAGUGGAUAUACUAGUUUGCAUUCCCACCAACAGUGUAGGAGGCCCCUACCCCCAAGAGUUUGUUGCCUUUUGAGUAUUUGAUGAUGACAGCCAUUCUGACUGGGGUGAGAUGGAAUCACAAAGCUGUUUAGAUUUGCAUUCCCCUAAUGGCCAACAAUGCCAAAUACUUUUUUCAUAUACUUACACUUUUUUCACAUACUUCUGCUCAUAUUCUUUUUUCAUAGGCUUCUUUGAGAAGUGUCUAUUCAUCUGCCCAGUUUUUGAUUGGGCCAUCUGUGUUUCGGGAGUUGGUUUUUGAGGUCUUUACAAAUCUGGAUACUCGUCGUCCACCGGAAGGGCGGUUGGGCCGUGGCCUCGCGCUCCGUGGCUGUGAUUUCCGGCCUUGGAGGGCCCUUCGCUUUGCGGGGUCGGUGGAAGCUGACUCAGUCCGGAAGCUGCGCUCCUUAGCACCGGAGGCCAGACUUUGGACUUUGUAUACAGUGUCAGCCUGUCCCGGAGGCCGAGGCAGUGCAGAAGGCGGACAGGGCCCGGGCGAGCCAUGACUCAGCGGGGGACAGAAAGGACUUGUUGCUUUCUUUCUCUCUUCCUCUCUCUCUCUCUUUCUCCUUUUUUGAAACAAGGUUUUACUAUGUAGUCCAGGCUGGCCUUGAACUCACAGGGAUCCUUCUGCCUCAGCCUCCUGAGCGUGGGGAUCACAGGCAUGUGCCACCAUGCCUGGCAGGAUCUCUCUCUUAUGAGGGCUUUUCCACACAGCCUCUUGAACCUCACAGGCAGCGUCUGAUUUAAGAAGGAAUAUUCCAAGAGCUAUUUUGAGACGGGGUCACCACGCUGCCCAGGCUGGACUGGAACUCGCGGCCUCCCGAGCUUGUGGGGGUGACAGGUGCGCACCACGCCUGCCUCGGGGCCUGAGCACCUUUCUGCUCUUCUCCUUCAGAGCCAUCAGGACCCCUUCCAGAUGCUCAGGUACGACGUGACGUCUGCGUCUCGCUCCACGGGAGAUGUACAUUCGGGGAAAAUUACUACUUGCCAACUUUGUUUUCAAUGGCCACAGCACUUCCGCUAGAGACCUUCAGAAGCAAAUCAUGAAGUCGAGGAACGAUUACCUCAUGGGGCUCUUCCUCCCCAGCGACUUCAGAAUCAGGGCCUAAUCUACUCUGUGUCUUGGAGAUGAAGAUGCCUUUGUGUUAAGAAAAAGAAAAGCCAAAUACAUUUUAACAGCAUCUGUUUUCCAAUCUAAAUAGAAAAUACCAUAGAAAAUGUUAACUGGAAUGGACUGGUUUUAAUCACAGCCAACAUUACAGUGGGAACUAACUUUAGAGAAGGUACGAAAAUAAAAUGGACCCUUUUGCACAGUAACAACUCUCGUAUUUUGAGAGCAGGCAUUGAAUCCAGGAACCUCACUGGAUUAAAGAGCCCAACUUUACAGGCAGUGACUAAGAGCUGCCAUAAAGUCCAUGCACUUAUGCACAAUCCACUUCUGGUCUUCACUGUGCCUGCUUACUCUUAGUAUACACACAGUUCUAACCAGCUUUGUUGCUUGCUGUUCAAAACCAGGGCAGCUCAGGAGGUGCAUUAAGCAGGUGGAGAAAGGCUGCUGCCACAGGCACACUUGAGCAACCAGGGACAUAAACAGGGGAAUCAGAACAACUCUCCAAAACAUAGACAUGAAAACCUAAGCAAGCACAGCCACAGAGUCAUUUGGUACAGGGAGAAAUGGUUCUCAGUGUUCUGUCCACCAGGGUGUAACUAAUGUUCAUAAUGGCCAUUUUAAUAUAAAAAUAUUAGAGUGGACUUAUACACUGUUCAAGACAGCAGUGCUCAUGGGUUUUGCAAAGAUAUCUUCAAAAGUUAUUCCAAAACAUGCGAACAAUGGAAGAAGCUCUCAUUCAGUAGAAAACGGGGCUGUCCAGCAUGACCAUUCCCGAUAACACACUAUUCGUUCCUCAUACACAGUCAGGCUAGCCAGUUCUUCCUAACCUGGCCACAUUUAGUCUUUAGAAUAUGAGUUUGGUGAGCAGAGCUGAAGUCACAGUAAUAAUCCCCUAAGUUUUAUACUGAUACACUGAACUAAGAACGAUCAACAAGAACAAAAUAUGUAACACUUUCCUGAAACAUACACAAUGAUUUAUACAAAGAUGACAGUCAAAUGUCCCUUUACAGUUGAAUUCAUUAGUGGAGAGUCCUGGAAACAUCAAUAUAUAAAAAUGAAUUAAGCUGGGAUUUAGAUCAGUGGUUCCGCUGCCUGCCUCACAAGCAUAAGGUCCCGAGUUCGACCCCUGGUACCAAAACCAAAACAAACAAACCAACAAAAAAAUGAAUUAGUCAGUCAAAUACACAGACAGCAGUAAUAUAUUUGGGCAAGUACUUUUAGCAGUUCUUAAGGUAAACGAAGGAAUGUUAGCAGCCACGGCGAACAUGGAGUCCAUGCAUUUCACUACCGGAAAAGCACUCAGCCUGUUCCAGUUACUUACUCUUCUUUUAGACACAAUUCUAGCAAGCUUGGCAGUCUGGGUUUUCAGUCCGUGGCAGAUUAGAAGCAGCAAAUGAGGGACCUACUGCAGGAG
Non-coding RNA from Heterocephalus glaber (naked mole-rat), 3491 nucleotides. Lineage: Eukaryota; Metazoa; Chordata; Mammalia; Rodentia; Bathyergidae. The record is from RefSeq and is a predicted model, not a curated record.